GGCGGCACGGGAGCGGCGCCGCGCGGCGGGAGGAGAGCGAGUGGCUGCGGCCAUGGCCAUGGCCGGCGAGCCCGCGUCGGGUGGCGUCAACGCGGGUGCUGCCACGCGAGGGAGCAGACGGCAUCGACAGGAAGUUUGCCAGCCUAGGGGGAAUCGCUCUCGGCUGAAGCAUUUGGAGAAGUAGCGGCGGACGCCACGGCAGCCGGCUGAGGGGGGAAGACGGCGGCCCUCACGGGGUUACAAGUCGUGGCGCCAAGCUCCCGGUGGCCGGUGCCACGGUGCCACCUCGUCGCGAGCCACUUGAAGCCAAGGGAUAAAAGGUGGGCAUACCUGGAGAGUCGGCCAACCGGAGGUACAAGUUGUCACCAAGAUUGUUCCUCGCCAUGUCAACAAGCUCACCAACCCAAAGCAAGCACCUUGACUGGCUGGCUGUGGUACCGGGAGAGCCGGUUAUGGUCAAGUUGGUGUAAGCAUAGGCCGUGCAUGAGCAGUUUCGGCUACACUCAGCCGCGCACUCCUCAAAGCUUCUGUCCUGGACAUAAAAGAACUUGUCAGGGAGCUUCAUUCCAGGCAUGGUCAUGAAAUGGUUCCCUUCUCCAC
This 600-nucleotide small RNA is filed under the name Oryza sativa Japonica Group (Japanese rice). RNAcentral describes it as "sRNA Os04g0633250". The record is from RNAcentral. Lineage: Eukaryota; Viridiplantae; Streptophyta; Magnoliopsida; Poales; Poaceae.